GAUGAACGCUGGCGGCGUGCCUAAUACAUGCAAGUCGAGCGAACAGAUGAGGAGCUUGCUCCUCUGACGUUAGCGGCGGACGGGUGAGUAACACGUGGAUAACCUACCUAUAAGACUGGGAUAACUACGGGAAACCGGAGCUAAUACCGGAUAAUAUAUUGAACCGCAUGGUUCAAUAGUGAAAGACGGUUUUGCUGUCACUUAUAGAUGGAUCCGCGCCGCAUUCGCUAGUUGGUAAGGUAACGGCUUACCAAGGCAACGAUGCGUAGCCGACCUGAGAGGGUGAUCGGCCACACUGGAACUGAGACACGGUCCAGACUCCUACGGGAGGCAGCAGUAGGGAAUCUUCCGCAAUGGGCGAAAGCCUGACGGAGCAACGCCGCGUGAGUGAUGAAGGUCUUCGGAUCGUAAAACUCUGUUAUUAGGGAAGAACAAAUGUGUAAGUAACUAUGCACGUCUUGACGGUACCUAAUCAGAAAGCCACGGCUAACUACGUG
RNAcentral lists this ribosomal RNA (497 nucleotides) under uncultured bacterium. Its description in RNAcentral is "partial 16S ribosomal RNA". It matches the Rfam family "Bacterial small subunit ribosomal RNA", at positions 28 to 507 of the family's 1533-position model. The record is from RNAcentral.